AAAAAAAAAAAAACUCCUCUCUCUGCUUUGAUUCCCUUUGAAAGGUGUUUGGUUCAACACAGAGGAGGAGAAGGUUAGAGGAAACAGAAGCGGGGAAGGGGGACUCACAGAUGGGCUGUGACGUGACACGCAUGGGAAAGAGGCCUGGGCCCCGAAGUCUGCGGUGCCGGUGACCUGGCCUUGCCUCAGGUGGAUUUUGCCUCCUAAAAGGUAGCCGUGUUCAAACAGGGCUGAGACCUCCCAGCCCAUCCCAGGAUCUGGCAGGCCAGCCUUCCUUCUCCUGGCUGCCGUUCUGUCUGUCCUCUCUCCCCAGGAGAAGCUGGGGUGGUUGCAGUGACACAGCAAACAGCCUGGGCCCCAGGCAAGGAGCUCGGGGGAGCCAGCUCUCUGCUGCUGGGAGUCUCCUGAGACCUCACAAACUGCCCCAGCUUCCUCAGGCUCGGCCAGAGUGCUGGCUCAGCAAGGCUGGGCUCGCAGCAAGGCUGGUGAGCCCUGAGCUGUUGGACAGGGUGCAGCUGCCAGCUUCCAGCCACUGCCCGACUCCUUUUCCAGUGCCCCUUCCGCAACUGCCACCCCAGCUGCCCUGGGGCCCCCCAAACCCUGGGGGACGCAGCUUCACCUCUCUGUGUCUCAGGGCAUCUGUGAAAUGAGGGCUUUCAUGAAGCUGCAGGGGAGGGAGUGGGGCCCUGGGGUUCCACAGAGGAGGCUGUGCAGGCAGAGAGCCAGAGCCCUUGAGCAGGGGGACUUUGUAAGUUACCAGAGUGUCCUCCAUUACCCAGGAGCAAGAGGCAGCCAGGCCUCUGGACAGAGCAGAAUCUGAGGCCUAGACAUCAAACCCCUAGCCUCCUGGUUUCUUGCUGAACCCCCCUUGGAGGGGUCGCCCCAUUCCUCUCUGUAUUCUCCAAACCACGGAAAGAAGAAUGACCACUCACCAACCCCCGUUGGACCUACAGACCCUUCCUGGCCCCGCCUGCAAGUACCUGGGAGAGUAAAUGGAUUGGUCCUCCUUGGUCAUGUGCUCACCUCGUCCAAUCAGCUAUGGGCACAGUCUGAACUCUUAGCUGAGAACCCCCACCCUCCGAGUUAGGGGAGGGGCAUUCCCAGUGCCCUUCAUCCUGAGCAGGACGUCACUCCCACAGGUGUCCCAAUAAGGGCCUAUGGCCGUGGUCUGGGAGUCAGGAAGAACUGAGUGGAAGAGGGUGGGUGGACUGGCCCAGUUCAGCACCUUGGACAGGUCACUCCAGUUUCUGAUGUAGCGAAGGGACUCAUAGCCCCCGCCAGGCUGCCCUGCCUCACAGUGAGGCUGCCGAGGGGGCACCAAACAGCCACGCGUGGGACUCAAAUCCUCAGACACUCAGCCUUCAUCCAGGGCUCCAUCCACUACAUCAACGCCCCGGGAGCAGGCUCUUCUCCCAGGCUAUCCAAGGAGGAACCGACGCGGGCGUUCACAUAUGAAGGCGUUCUAAAAUGUACGUUCUAUUAUCAUUCAGGUAUGAUGAGGCUAAUAGAUCAAGGGACUGCCAUUAGAAAGAAGGUUUAUUGGCCAGGGGCGGGGGCUCAAGCCUUUAAUCCCAGCACUUUGGGAGGCCGAGGUGGGCCGAUCACGAGGUCAGGAGAUCGAGAUUGUCCUGGCUAACACGGUGAAACCCCGUCUCUACUAAAAAUACAAAAAAAAAAAA
Macaca fascicularis (crab-eating macaque) is the source of this 1679-nucleotide long non-coding RNA. The record is from Ensembl. NCBI's taxonomy places the organism in Eukaryota, Metazoa, Chordata, Mammalia, Primates, Cercopithecidae.